GAACGGGUGAGUAACACGUGGGCAAUCUGCCCUGCACUCUGGGACAAGCCCUGGAAACGGGGUCUAAUACCGGAUACGAGCUUCCCGGGCAUCUGGGAGGUUGGAAAGCUCCGGCGGUGCAGGAUGAGCCCGCGGCCUAUCAGCUUGUUGGUGAGGUAACGGCUCACCAAGGCGACGACGGGUAGCCGGCCUGAGAGGGCGACCGGCCACACUGGGACUGAGACACGGCCCAGACUCCUACGGGAGGCAGCAGUGGGGAAUAUUGCACAAUGGGCGAAAGCCUGAUGCAGCGACGCCGCGUGAGGGAUGACGGCCUUCGGGUUGUAAACCUCUUUCAGCAGGGAAGAAGCGAGAGUGACGGUACCUGCAGAAGAAGCGCCGGCUAACUACGUGCCAGCAGCCGCGGUAAUACGUAGGGCGCAAGCGUUGUCCGGAAUUAUUGGGCGUAAAGAGCUCGUAGGCGGCUUGUCGCGUCGAUUGUGAAAGCCCGGGGCUUAACUCCGGGUCUGCAGUCGAUACGGGCAGGCUAGAGUGUGGUAGGGGAGAUCGGAAUUCCUGGUGUAGCGGUGAAAUGCGCAGAUAUCAGGAGGAACACCGGUGGCGAAGGCGGAUCUCUGGGCCAUUACUGACGCUGAGGAGCGAAA
Molecule: ribosomal RNA, 644 nt
Filed under: Streptomyces sp. 3114_2
Lineage: Bacteria; Bacillati; Actinomycetota; Actinomycetes; Kitasatosporales; Streptomycetaceae
Description: bacterial SSU rRNA
Rfam family: Bacterial small subunit ribosomal RNA
Source: RNAcentral